CCUACGGGAGGCAGCAGUGGGGAAUAUCGCACAAUGGGCGCAAGCCUGAUGCAGCCAUGCCGCGUGUGUGAAGAAGGCCUUCGGGUUGUAAAGCACUUUCAGCGGGGAGGAAGGCGGUGAGGUUAAUAACCUCAUCGAUUGACGUUACCCGCAGAAGAAGCACCGGCUAACUCCGUGCCAGCAGCCGCGGUAAUACGGAGGGUGCAAGCGUUAAUCGGAAUUACUGGGCGUAAAGCGCACGCAGGCGGUCUGUCAAGUCGGAUGUGAAAUCCCCGGGCUCAACCUGGGAACUGCAUUCGAAACUGGCAGGCUAGAGUCUUGUAGAGGGGGGUAGAAUGCCAGGUGUAGCGGUGAAAUGCGUAGAGAUCUGGAGGAAUACCGGUGGCGAAGGCGGCCCCCUGGACAAAGACUGACGCUCAGGUGCGAAAGCGUGGGGAGCAAACAGGAUUAGAUACCCUAGUAGUC
Molecule: ribosomal RNA, 465 nt
Filed under: uncultured Klebsiella sp.
Lineage: Bacteria; Pseudomonadati; Pseudomonadota; Gammaproteobacteria; Enterobacterales; Enterobacteriaceae
Description: bacterial SSU rRNA
Rfam family: Bacterial small subunit ribosomal RNA
Source: RNAcentral